RNAcentral lists this transfer RNA (83 nucleotides) under Sinimarinibacterium flocculans. RNAcentral's name for it is "gamma proteobacterium NH6-24 tRNA". It matches the Rfam family "tRNA". Rfam says of the family: Transfer RNA (tRNA) molecules are approximately 80 nucleotides in length. Their secondary structure includes four short double-helical elements and three loops (D, anti-codon, and T loops). Lineage: Bacteria; Pseudomonadati; Pseudomonadota; Gammaproteobacteria; Nevskiales; Nevskiaceae. The record is from Rfam by way of RNAcentral.
GCCCGUGUGGCGGAAUCGGUAGACGCAAGGGACUUAAAAUUCCUCACCCUACGGGUAUCCCGGUUCAAGUCCGGGCACGGGCA